Molecule: ribosomal RNA, 394 nt
Filed under: uncultured bacterium
Lineage: Bacteria
Description: partial 16S ribosomal RNA
Rfam family: Bacterial small subunit ribosomal RNA
Source: RNAcentral
AUACGUAGGGGGCGAGCGUUGUCCGGAAUGAUUGGGCGUGAAGGGCGCGUAGGCGGCCCGGUAAGUCUGGAGUGAAAGUCCUGUUUUUAAGAUGGGAAUUGCUUUGGAUACUGUCGGGCUUGAGUGCAGGAGAGGUAAGUGGAAUUCCCAGUGUAGCGGUGAAAUGCGUAGAGAUUGGGAGGAACACCAGUGGCGAAGGCGACUUACUGGACUGUAACUGACGCUGAGGCGCGAAAGUGUGGGGAGCAAACAGGAUUAGAUACCCUGGUAGUCCACACUGUAAACGAUGAAUGCUAGGUGUAGGGGGUAUCGACCCCUUCUGUGCCGCAGUCAACACAAUAAGCAUUCCGCCUGGGGAGUACGGCCGCAAGGUUGAAACGCAAAUGAAUUGACG